AAGAGCCGCGGGAUUGAAGUGGAAUAUUAUCAAUAACAUUCGAGUGCCAGCUGACUUUUGAUCUGCACCUGAAACACUUCUCUCUCUCUAUUCCACAAUCAAAAAAUGAAGUUAUUCUGCACCUUUGGUUUGAUGGCAGUUGCCAUUAUCCUUGGAACUUGUUCCGCUCUGCCAGCGCACAACAAACUCGGCGAUGUUAUUAUGGAGAACGAGCAACGGAGCAAGUACUAGACCCUGAUGGACCAAUGAUUCUGCUCUGGACGAUCAUCAACGAAACCAGCGAAAUUAAGAUGGAACUGCAAACCAACUGUACCGGUUGGAUGGGUUUCGUAUUUGGAAAUGGCAUUGGUCAACCAGGAGCCAUUGGCGACGGAGUUAUUGGUGGAUACAAUGACGAACUCGGUCUGGGUUACAUUGAAGACAGAUGGAUCGAUAUUAGUGUUAGGCGGUGAAAUUGAUGACAAUUCCAACGUCGUUUUGGUGAGCGCAACUUACCAAGAACCAUGGAGCAUUAUUCGGUUCCGACGCAACAUCGACACCGGAGAUUCGCAAAUGUUAUCAUCAGGCCUGGACCAAUGUUAGUCGUCUGGAGUUAUGCCGAUUCUGAUGACACGCCGAUUCCUCAUGAGUCAUGACCAAGAUACGCCAGGCGCUUCCUACUGUACGUGACAUUCAUCAAUGAAUAAAGUGUUUAACGAGUCCAUCAAGCUAUAUGACCUUUGCAGGACCAACUGGAAAUAACGAUAAGCAUUGGGGGAUAAAUUAUUAAAUUGGGGAUUGAUUGGUGCUUAAGUAGAGCAUCUAACUGUCAGAAAAUUAAAAAUUACAGAUUAAAUAUACAGGUUUAAUCUAAUAAAUACCGACAUUUCCGUGUUUUA
Molecule: long non-coding RNA, 878 nt
Organism: Daphnia pulicaria
Lineage: Eukaryota; Metazoa; Arthropoda; Branchiopoda; Diplostraca; Daphniidae
Exons: 4
Source: RefSeq, a predicted model, not a curated record